AGGAUCGUGAAUGCUGGAAGAUUGACAGCUCUGGGAAGAGCGCCAUCUCUCAAGUGCACACUUUAGGAGUAGCAUAUAGAACACAUGCCAAGCAUCAACCAUGUCUUGGAAGAUGGAAGAGAAUAAGAGCUGGACCCUGCCCUCAAGGAAACUAUGAUCAGCACAAAUGAUGCAUUAUUAGGAGACCUCCUUCCCACCAAAAUUAAGAUAAGGCGAAUCAAAGGGAAUGAAAUGGACAGAGAACCCACCCAAGGUGUGUGGAACUGGGUGUUUUAUUUGCACAUUCAUAGAGAAUUAUCAAAAAGAGGGAAAUGCUUACAACAAGGGAUUAUUGGUGGACUUUCAUGACAGUGUGGGAACUAUUGAAGAUAGAUGUCUCUUCCCAGAGCCUUUAUAUCCCUGCUUAUGAAGUUGGAACCUUUUCCAGAUAUAAUCAGAUUUUUUACUGUGAGAGGAACCCAAUUUACAAAUUCAAUUCCUUUAAUUUAUUUUGAAGCUCAUGCUAUUAACUAAAUGCUCAAGAGUUUAAAUUAUCUGUUUUUCUUCUCACCUUUGCCCACUUUCUUACUCUCAGGAUAUCACCCCUGGAGACAAAUAAUAUGAUGCUAGGAGGAAGGCCAAAUAGUCAUUGGCCUCAGUUGAGGCUCUGGCUUGCAAACUCCCCCAGAGUCCUCCUAUCUCAGUUCUGCGUGUCUGUAGGACAUACUAAGGAGGUGUUUGAUUUACCCGCCCGUGGCAGAGUUCAGGUCAUGUGAUUAUGAACUUUGUGCCAUUUCCAAAAUGGAAAAUAUUCAGUUUUUGAUGAGAUUAUUAGCUUUCCUCCUGUCCGGUUCCAACAAAUGAAAACCAGAUUUGCAUGUAUAAAUAACAAUCAAGCGCUGAAAUGAUUUAUUUAGUAAAGUUACUGUUUUGGAAACUAAAUCGAUGUGUCAUGUCAAGAUCCAAUCUGCCCUUCACUCACAUGGCAAAGGAGACUUCUCCGGGGUCUACUGGUAAAAAAAAAGUUGGAAUCCUAUUAAUAGUUUACUCCUGCCACGUGAGAAUUACAGUGGAAUCCAGCUAUGAGAAUAAAAGCUCAAAAUAAUGUUUCCGAGAACAUCCUGAUAGUAGCGUGUGCUAUUUCUUAUUGUAUUCAAGACACACAUGAAUAACUCUCCCCCAGAAGAAAAGGAAACAAAGCAAAGGGCAACAUAUUUUCCCACUGUGUAAAUUUCCUUCCUCAAGUAGAAAUAGUUAAAAUUAGAAGGCAAAUCCUAUGGUCAUUACAUGUCAGAAUGCUGACAUGAUGACAACUUCAAAGGCGUGUCGGGCUACAUUUGGCGUGCUCUUUUUUAAAAAGACAAUAGGCAUUGAAAAUUAAGCACUGCAUCAAAGCCUCCCAACUCUAUUGAGACAAGUCUAUGGAAAACUCAAACCAAGAUGCAAGGCUGUUCCUGCGUAAAUUAUGUGGAGGGCUCGAUGCAUGGGAAUUGCAUUGUCUAAGAUGCUCUGGAGACAACAUACAACCCUGAUCUGAGUGGCAUGUCAGAGCUAAUGACUACAGCUAGUAUGGAACCAUCUGCAGCUAAUUUUAGUCAUCCUCAUGGCAUUAAACUAAGACUUGUAAUUUGAAUCAACCCUAUAAAAGCUCAGAGACCUCACUGUGAUGCCACUCAGUACACAGUGGGCUUGGAUAGCUGAUAGUGCCAACUUGAAGGCUGUAUGAGGGCUAAACACCAGAGAGCAGAAUGGACUAGGAGGAAAGGCCAGGCAUUAGACCAAUUCCAGGUCUGUUAUUUGUCAGAUAAAUUGCUUUACAUCGAUUGUUUGAUUUCUUUGAGCCCUAGUUUCUUUAUUUACAAGAUGGAAACAGUAAUAGUUAACUUGCAGGGGGUAUUGAGAAAAUCAGAAACUUGCAUUAUAUAGUGGUGACUCAAUAAAUGGAACUAUUAUUUAUUUAUUUAUUUAUUUAUUUAUUUAUUUAUUUAUUUGCUAUAGCACCUAAUGCAUCCUUUUAUAGCAGAUAUUAUUAAUCUGGGGUCCAAAGACAUAUGAGACCUAAACUCACCCACCUCCCCUGAAAUUAUAUACAAAGUCUCACACAUAUGUGCAUUUUUCUGAAGACAAGGGUUCAUGAAUUUCAUA
Molecule: long non-coding RNA, 2124 nt
Organism: Acinonyx jubatus (cheetah)
Lineage: Eukaryota; Metazoa; Chordata; Mammalia; Carnivora; Felidae
Exons: 3
Source: RefSeq, a predicted model, not a curated record